RNAcentral lists this ribosomal RNA (468 nucleotides) under uncultured bacterium. Its description in RNAcentral is "partial 16S ribosomal RNA". It matches the Rfam family "Bacterial small subunit ribosomal RNA", at positions 28 to 507 of the family's 1533-position model. The record is from RNAcentral.
GACGAACGCUGGCGGCGUGCUUAACACAUGCAAGUCGAACGGAAAGGCCCGGCCUUGUUGGGGUGGGCGAGUGGCGAACGGGUGAGUAACACGUGAGUAACCUACCCUUGACUGUGGGAUAAGCUCAGGAAGCUGGGUCUAAUACCGGAUAGGAGCUCUCGCCGCAUGGUGGGGGUUGGAAAGUUUCGGCGGUUGGUGGUGGACUCGCCGCCCAUCGGCUUGUUGGUGGGGUAGUGUCAUAGCAAGGCCUGGAAGGGAAGGCGGGCGGGGAGGGUAACAGGCCCAAUUGGACUGGGAAUGCGACACGGACCCGUACGGGAGGCGGCGGUGGGGAAUAUUGCACAAUGGGAGGAGCGCUGACGUAGCAAAGCCGCGUGGGGGAUGAGGUCAUUGGGUUGGGAAUCUGCUUUCGCCUGUGACGAGGCGUUAGUGACGGUAACGGGAGAAGAAGCACCGGCUAACUACGUG